GUCUUUUUGUUAAUAAUUUAAAGUCUAAUCUGCCCACUGAUAUAUUUAUUAAAGGGCUGCAGUAUUUUGACUGUACAAAGGUAGCAUAAUCAUUAGUCUUUUAAUUGGUGACUCGUAUGAAAGAUUGGAUGAAAUAUAAACUGUCUCUUUUAUAAAAAAAAAAUUGAAUUUAAUUUUUUAAUUAAGAAGUUAAAAUUAUUUAAAAAGACGAGAAGACCCUAUAGAGUUUUAUAAUUUAUUUUGUAAAUAUUUUUAUUUUUAUAUUUUUAUAAUUUUAAAUUAUUUUGUUGGGGUGAUAAAAAAAUUUAAUUAACUUUUUUUAAUAGUUUACAUUAAUAAGUGAUUAAAUGAUCCAAUUUUAUUGAUUAAAAGAAAAAAUUACCUUAGGGAUAACAGCGUAAUUUUCUUUUUUAGUUCAAAUAAAAAGAAAAGUUUGCGACCUCGAUGUUGGAUUAAGAUAAAAUUUAAAUGUAGAAGUUUAAAAUUUUGAUCUGUUCGAUCAUUAAAAUCUU
RNAcentral lists this ribosomal RNA (512 nucleotides) under Bombyx mori (domestic silkworm). RNAcentral's name for it is "partial large subunit ribosomal RNA". The stretch from base 389 to 512 matches the Rfam family "Bacterial large subunit ribosomal RNA", at positions 2473 to 2597 of the family's 2925-position model. The record is from RNAcentral. Lineage: Eukaryota; Metazoa; Arthropoda; Insecta; Lepidoptera; Bombycidae.